CUCAAGAAGAUGUAACAAAUGAGGAAAGAAAAACUCAAUCCCAAGCAACACAAACCCUAGUCGCCAUACACCCUAUUGGCAUUGUGAUUGGAGGAGAAGAGUAAGAGGGCGACUAAGAUGAUCAAGGCUAGUUAACCAUAUCAUCAACAACAUGCACUUCUCCAGUAAAGAGAACAUGUGGCAAGACCUUAAAAGUGAAAGCAAUGUUAGAGUCAUUGUGGAAACCAACCGCAACCAUCAAAGGAAGAUCAACCGCAACCAUCAAAGGAAGAUCAACCGCCAGACAAAACCGAGUCAGUGCGAUGAGUCCAAACCCAAUGAGAUUCAACCUGUCGAAAAGCAGGUGAAAAUGGCAUCUUACUCAUGUACAAGAAGGCUAAGCUUAGGAGAGAACCAAAAAUAAAAAUAAAAAAAUAGCAAGAAAGCUAAAGAGAAGAGCCAUGCUCCAACCAAAGUGAAGCUUAUGCAGUGGUAGGUGUUCCAUAGUGGUGAAGCCAAGGGGCUGGCAAGGGCCCCGCCUUCUCUAAAAUGAAAAAAAUUUUAUUUAGAUAUUUUAUUAUUUAUAAAAUUUUAAAUUACUUGUAACACCUCAAAUCCGGCUUAAACAUUAUAGUCGAAUUUAGAGAAAUUACAUUAAUUUGUGUAAAAACCCAAAAGUUUGAAUCCCAACUUUAUAAAUUGUAAAUUCUAAAAAUAUUAACUUUUGGCAAAACAAUUAUAUGUUAUUUUGAAAAUUACGCACAAAACUUAUUUAUUUUAUAGAAAACUCUUAACCUGAUGUCAUUUGGAAACUUCUAAUUUCAGUGUGAGUUUCGAAAAUAUAAAUAUGGCAAAGCUCUUACAUAUUUUAGAAAAACUUGUACUUGAAAACUUCUAUUUCAUAGUAAAACCACCAAGUCCUGUAGCAGCAAAUUUUUCUUUUUACCGAAUUUAAUUUUAAAAACCAAUUUCUAAUCUCAUAAAUCAUGCAUUACCUUCGUUUUACGUUAAAAAUACCAAAAUCUGACAAAAAUGAGUAGAAACCACAAAACAAAUUCAUAAAAAAUUUACUAACCAAAAGAUAAAAAAUAAACUAAUCAUAAACAGAUUUAUUUACUUGAUCAAAAAUUCAAUCCGAGCUCCCGCACCCCGUCCGAUGCUAAACUUUACUAAUUACCUGAAACGUCAGAAAUAAAACAAAGGGGUGAGCUAUAAAACUCAAUGUAUACUGAAACUCAACAUAGAACACACAUAUCACAAUAUACAAUUCAAAGUUUCAAAGAGAAUUUCAUCACGAACAAUUGACCAAAACUAAGAAUACAUGAUUAUGUUUAUGCGAUAUUUUUUAGAAAACAUAAUGCAAAUUUUUCGAAAAACUUCCUACCCAGUUUCGCUAUACACCAAAAUAGAGUUCCCCAGAACUCGUCCAACAAAAUCACGCCAACAAAUAAUUGUGGACAUUACCACCAAAGUUGUCAGAAUCUUCCUCUUUUCAACAUUAUCCCAAACCUUAUAAUGUGUCCUAGCAUGCAUAUAUAGAAAUAGAAUGAUAAGCAUGUAAGACAUGCUGACAUACACUAAUAGAAGACAGAAGGCAUGAGAGUCUAUGCUUUAUAGAAUAGAAGUAUCAAACCUUGUAGAAAUGCAUCAAUUUUACCAUGAAGUCACAUGCAUAGUUACAUAAUAGAUCUAGAGAUAUACAAAUAAUCAUAUUCUGACAUCACAUGCUCACAUCCUAACAUAAUAACAUGGUAACGUACGGAUCCUACAGAUAAGCUAAUUACAAAUCACGAAUCAAAUCGAGUCAAAAUAAAAAAUUUUAGAAAAUGGGCUCACAUGGCCCAAUUGACCAACUCGUGUGGCCCACACGAUCUGGCACACUACUUGUCACAUGAUCGUGAGGUGUCGCACUACUUGUCACACGAUCGUGAGGCAUCGACAAACCAAAUUUCAACUUUCUGCUGUUCACUAUUUUUUGAAUUUUCCGAUACACACCUAACUGUUUUUCAGUGACGACACACCGCAACAAUUCCAGAACCUAAAAUCAAUGAUUAAAUGGCCCAAUUUAGCCACAAAACACUUAAUCAAAACACUAACACGAUUACAAUCGCUAAGGUUAAACUUUAAUAAAAUAAAAAUCAGCCUUUCGACAAAUGAUCACUUACCCAACAGAGACGUAGGCCUUCAAAUCACCUAAUUCGUUGAAAGGAUGCCAUGUGAUUCGCAAACCUCUCCUAACAGUACAUCAAAACCAUCAAUUCACACAAAUCUUACCAACCCAUACUUACAACCCUUCCACAAAAACGAAAACAACAUGCUCUAGGUGUAAAUAGAAAUUACCACUAAGAAAACACCGAAAGAACAGACAUACUUUAGAUAAUACGCCAAACAACACUAAUAGGCAACAAUAGGAUGAAACAUGAAGUAAAAGAACGGGAAUACUAUCAAGAAAUCGCAAAGAAUGAAAAUUCAAAAAAGAAAAAAAAUGAUGAAAAAG
RNAcentral lists this long non-coding RNA (2476 nucleotides) under Gossypium barbadense (sea-island cotton). Its description in RNAcentral is "long non-coding RNA (GBAR_LNC018812)". The record is from RNAcentral. Lineage: Eukaryota; Viridiplantae; Streptophyta; Magnoliopsida; Malvales; Malvaceae.